UUGCCGGCGACCGGCGCACGGGUGAGUAACGCGUAUCCAACCUGCCCUUUACUAUGGGACAGCCCGUCGAAAGGCGGAUUAAUACCGUAUGUUGUCAUGUUGAUGCAUAUUUUCAUGACCAAAGGCUUCGGCCGGUAAAGGAUGGGGAUGCGUCUGAUUAGCUUGCCGGCGGGGUAACGGCCCACCGGGGCGACGAUCAGUAGGGGUUCUGAGAGGAAGGUCCCCCACAUUGGAACUGAGACACGGUCCAAACUCCUACGGAAGGCAGCAG
This 271-nucleotide ribosomal RNA is filed under the name uncultured bacterium. RNAcentral's name for it is "partial 16S ribosomal RNA". It matches the Rfam family "Bacterial small subunit ribosomal RNA", at positions 85 to 354 of the family's 1533-position model. The record is from RNAcentral.